RNAcentral lists this ribosomal RNA (229 nucleotides) under uncultured bacterium. Its description in RNAcentral is "partial 16S ribosomal RNA". It matches the Rfam family "Bacterial small subunit ribosomal RNA", at positions 568 to 796 of the family's 1533-position model. The record is from RNAcentral.
CGUGUAGGCGGCUUGGUAAGCCAGAUGUGAAAGCCCAGGGCUCAACCCUGGAAGUGCAUUUGAUACUGCCAUGCUUGAGUAUGGGAGAGGAGAGCGGAAUUCCCAGUGUAGAGGUGAAAUUCGUAGAUAUUGGGAGGAACACCCGUGGCGAAGGCGGCUCUCUGGACCAAUACUGACGCUGAGACGCGAAAGCGUGGGGAGCAAACAGGAUUAGAUACCCUGGUAGUCC